AGUCGAUGAUUAUAACAUAAUAUUUGCUACUCCUCAUUGAGUUAAGACUCAUGACGACAGACAUUAUCACCAAGAUCGAUGAGAUU
Molecule: small nucleolar RNA, 86 nt
Organism: Fistulifera solaris
Lineage: Eukaryota; Bacillariophyta; Bacillariophyceae; Naviculales; Stauroneidaceae
Rfam family: Small nucleolar RNA SNORD24
About the family: U24 is a member of the C/D class of snoRNA which contain the C (UGAUGA) and D (CUGA) box motifs.
Source: Rfam